CCUACGGGUGGCAGCAGUCGAGAAUCAUUCACAAUGGGGGAAACCCUGAUGGUGCGACGCCGCGUGGGGGAAUGAAGGUCUUCGGAUUGUAAACCCCUGUCAUGUGGGAGCAAAUUAAAAAGAUAGUACCACAAGAGGAAGAGACGGCUAACUCUGUGCCAGCAGCCGCGGUAAUACAGAGGUCUCAAGCGUUGUUCGGAAUCACUGGGCGUAAAGCGUGCGUAGGCUGUUUCGUAAGUCGUGUGUGAAAGGCGCGGACUCAACCCGCGGACGGCACAUGAUACUGCGAGACUAGAGUAAUGGAGGGGGAACCGGAAUGCUCGGUGUAGCAGUGAAAUGCGUAGAUAUCGAGAGGAACACUCGUGGCGAAGGCGGGUUCCUGGACAUUAACUGACGCUGAGGCACGAAGGCCAGGGGAGCGAAAGGGAUUAGAUACCCCGGUAGUC
Molecule: ribosomal RNA, 446 nt
Filed under: uncultured bacterium
Lineage: Bacteria
Description: partial 16S ribosomal RNA
Rfam family: Bacterial small subunit ribosomal RNA
Source: RNAcentral